RNAcentral lists this ribosomal RNA (486 nucleotides) under uncultured bacterium. Its description in RNAcentral is "partial 16S ribosomal RNA". It matches the Rfam family "Bacterial small subunit ribosomal RNA", at positions 30 to 507 of the family's 1533-position model. The record is from RNAcentral.
AUUGAACGCUGGCGGCAUGCCUUACACAUGCAAGUCGAACGGCAGCACGGGUGCUUGCACCUGGUGGCGAGUGGCGAACGGGUGAGUAAUACAUCGGAACAUGUCCUGUAGUGGGGGAUAGCCCGGCGAAAGCCGGAUUAAUACCGCAUACGAUCUACGGAUGAAAGCGGGGGACCUUCGGGCCUCGCGCUAUAGGGUUGGCCGAUGGCUGAUUAGCUAGUUGGUGGGGUAAAGGCCUACCAAGGCGACGAUCUGUAGCUGGUCUGAGAGGACGACCAGCCACACUGGGACUGAGACACGGCCCAGACUCCUACGGGAGGCAGCAGUGGGGAAUUUUGGACAAUGGGCGAAAGCCUGAUCCAGCAAUGCCGCGUGUGUGAAGAAGGCCUUCGGGUUGUAAAGCACUUUUGUCCGGAAAGAAAUCCUUGGCUCUAAUACAGUCGGGGGAUGACGGUACCGGAAGAAUAAGCAGCGGCUAACUACGUG